RNAcentral lists this ribosomal RNA (245 nucleotides) under uncultured Lactobacillus sp. RNAcentral describes it as "partial 16S ribosomal RNA". It matches the Rfam family "Bacterial small subunit ribosomal RNA", at positions 118 to 354 of the family's 1533-position model. The record is from RNAcentral. Lineage: Bacteria; Bacillati; Bacillota; Bacilli; Lactobacillales; Lactobacillaceae.
UGGGGAACCUGCCCCAUAGUCUGGGAUACCACUUGGAAACAGGUGCUAAUACCGGAUAAGAAAGCGGAUCGCAUGAUCAGCUUUUAAAAGGCGGCGUAAGCUGUCGCUAUGGGAUGGCCCCGCGGUGCAUUAGCUAGUUGGUAAGGUAAAGGCUUACCAAGGCGAUGAUGCAUAGCCGAGUCGAGAGACUGAUCGGCCACAUUGGGACUGAGACACGGCCCAAACUCCUACGGGAGGCAGCAGAU